AUUGAACGCUGGCGGCGUGCUUAACACAUGCAAGUCGAUCGGUAACAGGUGUAGCAAUACAUGCUGACGAGAGGCGGACGGGUGAGUAAUGCUUGGGAAUCUGCCUAUUAGUGGGGGACAACCCGGGGAAACUCGGGCUAAUACCGCAUACGCUCUACGGAGGAAAGCCGGGGACCGCAAGGCCUGGCGCUAAUAGAUGAGCCCAAGUCGGAUUAGCUAGUUGGUAGGUAACGGCCUACCAAGGCGACAAUCCGUAGCUGGUCUGAGAGGACGACCAGCCACACCGGAACUGAGACACGGUCCGGACUCCUACGGGAGGCAGCAGUGGGGAAUAUUGGACAAUGGGGCAACCCUGAUCCAGCGACGCCGCGUGGGUGAAGAAGGCC
This 386-nucleotide ribosomal RNA is filed under the name uncultured bacterium. Its description in RNAcentral is "bacterial SSU rRNA". It matches the Rfam family "Bacterial small subunit ribosomal RNA", at positions 29 to 416 of the family's 1533-position model. The record is from RNAcentral.